UGAACGCUGGCGGCGUGCUUAACACAUGCAAGUCGAACGGUAACAGAGGAAGCUUGCUUCCUGCUGACGAGUGGCGCACGGGUGAGUAAUGCAUAGGUAACGUGCCCCUUAGUCUGGGAUAGCCACUGGAAACGGUGAUUAAUACCGGAUACUCCUUCUCUAUUAAUUAGAGUCGGGAAAGUUUUUCGCUAAGGGAUCGGCCUAUGUUGUAUCAGGUAGUUGGUAGGGUAAUGGCCUACCAAGCCUAUGACACAUAGCGGGUCUGAGAGGAUGAUCCGCCACACUGGUACUGAGACACGGACCAGACUCCUACGGGAGGCAGCAGUGGGGAAUAUUGCACAAUGGGCGAAAGCCUGAUGCAGCAACGCCGCGUGGAGGAUGACACAUUUCGGUGCGUAAACUCCUUUUAUAUAAGAAGAUAAUGACGGUAUUAUAUGAAUAAGCACCGGCUAACUCC
This 457-nucleotide ribosomal RNA is filed under the name uncultured bacterium. RNAcentral describes it as "bacterial SSU rRNA". It matches the Rfam family "Bacterial small subunit ribosomal RNA", at positions 30 to 504 of the family's 1533-position model. The record is from RNAcentral.